RNAcentral lists this ribosomal RNA (253 nucleotides) under uncultured bacterium. RNAcentral describes it as "partial 16S ribosomal RNA". It matches the Rfam family "Bacterial small subunit ribosomal RNA", at positions 524 to 776 of the family's 1533-position model. The record is from RNAcentral.
UACGGGGGGGGCGAGCGUUGUUCGGAAUUACUGGGCGUAAAGGGUUUGUAGGUGGUCUGCUAAGUCAGACGUGAAAUCCCUCAGCUUAACUGGGGAACUGCGUCUGAUACUGGCGGACUUGAGGACAGGAGAGGAACGCGGAAUUCCAGGUGUAGCGGUGAAAUGCGCAGAUAUCAGGAAGAACACCCGUGGCGAAGGCGGCUCUCUGGGACGGUACUGACGCUGAGACGCGAAAGCGUGGGGAGCGAACAGG